AAAUCUUGACAUCCUUUGACAACUCUAGAGAUAGAGCCUUCCCCUUCGGGGGACAAAGUGACAGGUGGUGCAUGGUU
Molecule: ribosomal RNA, 77 nt
Filed under: uncultured Staphylococcus sp.
Lineage: Bacteria; Bacillati; Bacillota; Bacilli; Caryophanales; Staphylococcaceae
Description: partial 16S ribosomal RNA
Source: RNAcentral